This 564-nucleotide ribosomal RNA is filed under the name uncultured bacterium. RNAcentral's name for it is "bacterial SSU rRNA". It matches the Rfam family "Bacterial small subunit ribosomal RNA", at positions 72 to 644 of the family's 1533-position model. The record is from RNAcentral.
CGACGACUUCGGUUAUCGGGAAAAGCGGCAGACGGCUGAGUAACGCGUGAGUAACCUGCCCUUCGGUGGGGUAUAACCUCGAGAAAUUGGGGAUAAUCCCGCAUACGAUCCGCCCGCCUUGGUAGGCGGAUGAAAGCUACGAUUCGUCGUGGCGCCGGGGGAGGGGCUCGCGUCCUAUCAGGUAGUUGGUGAGGUAACGGCUCACCAAGCCGAUGACGGGUAGCUGGUCUGAGAGGACGACCAGCCAGAGGGGGACUGAGACACGGCCCCCACUCCUACGGGAGGCAGCAGCAGGGAAUUUUGGGCAAUGGACGAAAGUCUGACCCAGCGACGUCGCGUGGGGGAUGAAGGCCUUUGGGCUGUAAACCCCUUUUCCAAGGGAAGAGGAAGGACGGUACCUUGGGAAUAAGCUCCGGCUAACUACGUGCCAGCAGCCGCGGUAAUACGUAGGGAGCGAGCGUUACCCGGAAUCACUGGGCGUAAAGAGAGCGUAGGCGGCUGGGUAAGUCUCUUGUGAAAGCUCCCGGCUUAACUGGGAGAGGUCAAGGGAUACUACUCGGCUGG